This is a non-coding RNA of Oryzias latipes (Japanese medaka), 46 nucleotides long. Lineage: Eukaryota; Metazoa; Chordata; Actinopteri; Beloniformes; Adrianichthyidae. The record is from Rfam.
ACAACGGCUCUUUUCAGAGCCACACACAAAACCUUGAAGAUCUUGG